CCUACGGGAGGCAGCAGUGGGGAAUAUUGCACAAUGGGGGAAACCCUGAUGCAGCGACGCCGCGUGAGUGAAGAAGUAUUUCGGUAUGUAAAGCUCUAUCAGCAGGGAAGAAAAUGACGGUACCUGUUUAAGAAGCCCCGGCUACCUACGUGCCAGCCGCCGCGGUAAGACGCAGGGGGCAAGCGUUAUCCGGAUGUAGUGGGUGUAAAGGGGGCGUAGGCUGCAUGGCAGGCGUGCUGUGAAAUGUCCGGGCUCAACCCGGGCCGUGCAGCGCGAACCGGCGUGCUUGAGUCAGCGGAAGGCAGGCGGAAUUCGUGGUGUAGCGGUGAAAUGCUUAGAUAGGACGAAGAACCCCGAUUGCGAAGGCAGCUUGCUGCAGCGGAACUGACGCUGAUGCUCGAAAGCGCGGGUAUCGAACAGGAUUAGAUACCCCGGUAGUC
RNAcentral lists this ribosomal RNA (440 nucleotides) under uncultured bacterium. Its description in RNAcentral is "partial 16S ribosomal RNA". It matches the Rfam family "Bacterial small subunit ribosomal RNA", at positions 338 to 795 of the family's 1533-position model. The record is from RNAcentral.